RNAcentral lists this ribosomal RNA (204 nucleotides) under uncultured bacterium. Its description in RNAcentral is "partial 16S ribosomal RNA". It matches the Rfam family "Bacterial small subunit ribosomal RNA", at positions 568 to 772 of the family's 1533-position model. The record is from RNAcentral.
CUCGUAGGCUGCCAACUAAGUCAGACGUGAAAUCCCUCGGCUUAACCGGGGAACUGCGUCUGAUACUGGAUGGCUUGAGAUCGGGAGAGGGAUGCGGAAUUCCAGGUGUAGCGGUGAAAUGCGUAGAUAUCUGGAGGAACACCGGUGGCGAAGGCGGCAUCCUGGACCGACACUGACGCUGAGGAGCGAAAGCCAGGGAGCAAC